UUCGUUGAGUGUGGUUUAGAAGUGGAAUAAAGUAAGUGGUCGAAGGUGAGAAGGAAACACACGCAUACACACAUAUAAUUGACUGCAACAAGUGCACAAAUAAACUAAAAAACGCAUAUCGUCAGCGACUUAAAUGAAAUAAAUUUUUAUCUGUUUUAAAUUGGUUUUGCUUUAGUAUUUUUUUAUUGGCAUUCUCUACAUAAAUUUAAAUGCAUUCUGCGGGAGUCCGCAGCUCAUCGGCGGUGCCCUUAAAAUGUUAAUUGUUUUGUUGAUAUGCUCGAUCAUUUUCAAUUUGAGUGAAGCUUAUGCAGAAAAUACAAAGUUAUAAAUUCACAACGUUUGAGAAGAAAUGCGGUUACGAGGUACAUGAAUUCAUACAGAUUUCUCGUAACAAGUCCGAAGCCUCCACAGGCACUACAAAGCAAGCGAUGGCUGUGGACUUACACAACACAAGUGGCCAUGAAUACUAGAGCAAUACCGAAUUAACUGACUGUGAAUACGGAUGUAGCCAGAAGUGCGACCGAAUCCAGUAUUGAAGGCGCGGAAACCCAAAUGAGCCACCACCGAAGCAACAUAAGCUCCAAACCUGUACGCUACUAAACAUCAGUUCGUGCGAGGUACCGGAGCAGGCAGACAAAUUCAUAUUGACUCUGUACAAUCCAUUGGCGCAAACAAUAUUUGAUUAUGUGCGCGUACCGGUGCCAGAUGUGAAUUAUCAGGUUAAGGACUUUGAUGGUGUAACGAUUGAGACACAAUUCUUACCGGUGCCAGCGCCAAUGCAAAAUCUGAAUUUCUGCAAAUCUAAAGCGCCGUAUGAACUCGUCUUCACCGCACGUGAUCUACACCCUCUUGGUUUUAAAUCGUACUAUAUAACAAAAACAAAUGAAAAUCAUAUGAUACCUGAGCCGGAUCCCGAAAACAUGUCGAGUUUCACAAGCAUCGGAAAUAAGUUCAGUACAUUCGUCCCACGUCUCCUUGUGGCCGUCAAUCUUGAUUUGGACGCCAAAUAGUACAGUUAGAUUAACACUUAAAAGCACGAAAAAGGUAAAAAUGGAACUGCCUGUUGAAGUGUAGAACCAACGCAUAGGAAGAGUUGAAUCAUAGGCUUGCAGAACAACAACGCUGAAGAAAGAAUAUAAGAAAGGGAUUACGGAUGCUAAUAACACAGGCCAACAACCAAACAACUUUUUCGAUAAUUUUAACUAAUUACUUUGUAAUUUGGUGUCCUGAUUACGAAAACAAAUAUUAAAAAGUUAUAUCACCCAUCAAUUUUUCACAUUUUACAAUUAAGUAAAAAUAAAGUUUAUGUACCAAAAUGUAUCGGAUAUAUUUCACAGUCCUGUGAGGUACAGUUUCUAAAACAGCUAUGGGUGUUUCCUGAAGGUUUUUCUAUGCUGAAAACGAAUAUGACCUUGAAAAUGCUCCAGCACGUCAGAAUUUUCGGCAAUUUGAGGUUAAAUAGUCAAAAAAUGCAGAUUUUGGCCAUUUUUUUAAUAUUUUUUUGAGCAAGGUAAAGUUGUUUUUUUUAAUUUUCCACAACGGCAUCGCAAAGUACUAGUAUUCAGCUUUAAAAUCCAUUUUUAAAAAUAUUUUUGCGAUUAAUAUAAACAAAGCUAUACUAUUUUGAAUUCGCCCUUUACAGGGGCGUUAGAGAGUUAGAAAGGUUGAAUUUGCAUACCUAAAAGUCUCCAAUUCAAAAUAGAAUAACUUUUUUUAUAUUAAUCGUAAAAAUAUUUUUAAAAAAGGACCUUAAAGCUAAAAAGUAGCACUUUACGAUGCCGUUGUGGAAAAUUAAAAAAAAACUUUACCUUGCUCAAAACAAAUUAAAAAAAUGGCCAAAAUCUGCAUUUUUUGACUAUUUAACCACAAAUUGCCAAAAAUUCUGACGUGCUGGAGCAUUUUCAAGGUCAUAUUCGUUUUCAGCAUAAAAAAACCUUCAGGAAACACCCAUAGCGGUUUUAGAAGCUGUAAAGAAGCGAGAUUUUGUAGGCCUGUGUAAUCGUUUCAUUAUAAAAAUGGGUUCAAUGUAAGUGCAGAAGGCAGUCUUAGAAUUUACACUAAAUAAUAAUACCACGCAAACUCAUAUUAAAAAAUGAAAUGAAAUGAAUUCAAAAAUGUCAGCAUUGCGCAACCGGAUUGAGUUAAAAGAGUUCAUUUGCACCAGUAAGCAGUUGGUAGCAAUAGCAAAUUCGCUUUUUGUCAGCAGUAACUGUAAACGGAAGUCGUGCCGGCGAAUUGCUAGCUCAUUUCGCGCUCCAACUGAAAGAGUAGAUUCGAUUAUUGCAAUGUAAACACAAACCAA
Anastrepha ludens (Mexican fruit fly) is the source of this 2302-nucleotide long non-coding RNA. RefSeq lists it as uncharacterized. Lineage: Eukaryota; Metazoa; Arthropoda; Insecta; Diptera; Tephritidae. The transcript has 4 exons. The record is from RefSeq and is a predicted model, not a curated record.